Molecule: non-coding RNA, 777 nt
Organism: Danio rerio (zebrafish)
Lineage: Eukaryota; Metazoa; Chordata; Actinopteri; Cypriniformes; Danionidae
Source: Ensembl
AUUACGAACACCUGACCUGCAGUGCAGCAGAAUUCAGAGAGAUGUAACUUACUCCAGAGACGCACUAACUUGCACAGCAUUGAAUGGAAAAGGCUUUGUCCAUGUCCAGUUGAGGGGCAUCAAGAACAAGCAGAUGGCCUAAACCUGUGUCAGCCUGGACAGACUGCAGUUCUGCUAUUCCACGCCAAGGCUUUUGUAUGGAUGUUUGACUACUACUGUGUUCUCUAAAGGUUUUCUGGAAGCUCCAUUUGAGUUCAUCAAGGACAUACUGAUAGCCUAAACCAGUGUCAGCCUAGACAGACAGACAGACAGACAUCUAUUGCAGUUCUGCUACACAAGACCAAACUCUCUGCUUUUGUAUGGAUGUCUGACUAGUACGGUGUUCUCUAAAGGUAUAACUGGAGCAAAACAACAGCAUCCGUUACAGUGAAAUUUGUGUUCAUAAAAGAUAUGUGUAACAGGUCCAGUACAUUUGUCAUAAAGGUUAAAUCGCAGUAAGUACUGUAAAAAUAACUUGUUUGCCUUUGCCACAACAGGUCAUAUAUACGCAAACACAUUUGUAUUUACUGUUUUGUUUUGCCUCACUAAAGUGUUGUUGGAGCUUGGUAUGUUCACAGUUGAAAUCACUGAAGUCACAUGGAAUGUUUUGACAAUGUGUUUUGUGCCUUAUCUUGACAAUGAUUAUCUUGGGACUAUUGCUGUCUGUAGAGGAUAAGGAACAUUUAAUCUAAAAUAUUUUAGUUUGUGUUCUGAAGAUUAACAGGUCUCUGGGAUGAC